RNAcentral lists this ribosomal RNA (540 nucleotides) under uncultured bacterium. RNAcentral describes it as "bacterial SSU rRNA". It matches the Rfam family "Bacterial small subunit ribosomal RNA", at positions 567 to 1116 of the family's 1533-position model. The record is from RNAcentral.
GCGCGUAGCGCUAUCAGUCAGAGUGAAAUCCUGACUCACCCAGAAUUGCCUUUGAAACUGGUAGCUAGAGUGUCGGAGAGGAUAGCGGAAUUGCUAAUGUAGAGUGAAAUUCGUAGAUAUAGCAGGAACACCGGUGGCGAAGACGACUAUCUGGACGACAACUGACGCUGAGGCGCGAAAGCACGGAGAUCAAACAGGAUUAGAUACCCUGGUAGUCCGUGCUGUAAACGAUGGGUGCUAGCUGUUUGGGGGUUACCCCUAAGUAGCGUAGCUAACGCGUUAAGCACCCCGCCUGGGGAGUACGGUCGCAAGAUUAAAACUCAAAGAAAUUGACGGGGACCCGCACAAGCGGUGGAACAUGUGGUUUAAUUCGAGGCAACGCGAAGAACCUUACCAGGAUUCGACAUGUCCCUUCUGGAUUCUUGAAAGAGAAUCCUUCAGUUCGGCUGGGGGGAACACAGGUGCUGCAUGGCUGUCGUCAGCUCGUGUCGUGAGAUGUUGGGUUAAGUCCCGCAACGAGCGCAACCCUCGUCUUCUGUU